UACGUAGGGUGCGAGCGUUAAUCGGAAUUACUGGGCGUAAAGCGUGCGCAGGCGGUUUGCUAAGACAGGUGUGAAAUCCCCGGGCUUAACCUGGGAACUGCGCUUGUGACUGGCAGGCUAGAGUACGGCAGAGGGGGGUGGAAUUCCUGGUGUAGCAGUGAAAUGCGUAGAUAUCAGGAGGAACACCGAUGGCGAAGGCAGCCCCCUGGGCCUGUACUGACGCUCAUGCACGAAAGCGUGGGGAGCAAACAGGAUUAGAAACCCCAGUAGUCC
RNAcentral lists this ribosomal RNA (273 nucleotides) under uncultured bacterium. RNAcentral's name for it is "partial 16S ribosomal RNA". It matches the Rfam family "Bacterial small subunit ribosomal RNA", at positions 524 to 796 of the family's 1533-position model. The record is from RNAcentral.